Tachysurus fulvidraco (yellow catfish) is the source of this 793-nucleotide long non-coding RNA. RefSeq lists it as uncharacterized. NCBI's taxonomy places the organism in Eukaryota, Metazoa, Chordata, Actinopteri, Siluriformes, Bagridae. The record is from RefSeq and is a predicted model, not a curated record. The transcript has 3 exons.
UCUCUCUCUCUCUCUCUCUCUCUCUCUCUCUCUCUCUCUCUCUCCUUUUAAACACACGAUUUAAACACUAUAAGAUUUUUCCCCUUGUAUAGUAGAAAUAUUGUGUAGCUCUUCCUCCUGACAUCUGUACAGAUUUUUCUUUGCUUUCACUGAAGCAGGAAAUACAUCUGUGUCAUUUCCUGUCACUCGUUCGACCGUGUGAAGCAUCACCUAGAAUGAGAGGUUGGUGAUGGUGUAGCAGGCACACCUUAGGAACACCUCUUGGUGUUCUCCUACGAGGAUGUUUCCAAGGUCGAGGUUCAGGUUUGUCACCGUGCAUUCUACGGAGCUCUGCGAUCAGAUUUGGGUCCAGGUGUCAGCACUUUACGACGCUCAGUUCCGGUUUUGGUGACAUCACUUCCAGCUUCUUCACUUUCAUUCGGGAGUCUCGUGAAGUCAAGUCAAGACUUUAGAGCAGUCAGAGGUAAAGCUGGACCAUUACAGACAUGAUCUUCAGGGCAGAGGAGAUUGAACUUACAGGUUUCUCUGUAACACCCAAAGCUGUAUGGAUUUCAUUCAUUAACUUCAAAAACAGAAAUAUAUAUUUUUUAAAAGUUUAAUGCUGCUUUAACAUAGGUGAGAACGUGACUAUGUGGACAUAUAAAAUUAUUUAUUAUAUAUGUCACUUUUUUAAUAGUUUUUUGUCAGAUAUUUUUUUUCUCACAUUUAUUUGUAGCUUAUUGCUUAUUCUAUUUAAUUUGCUUCUGCUGUGUUGUAUUAGAUUUUUUAAAUCCCUCUUUUGACUAUUUUUUAU